GACGUGGGAGGCCAUAAUGGGAUGUGGGAGGCCAUAAUGGGAUGUGGGAGGCCAUAAUGGGACGUGGGAAGUGGUGGUGGGACGUGGGAGGCCAUAAUGGAACAUGGGAGGCGGUGGUGGGACGUGGGAGGUGGUGGUGAGACGUGGGAGCCCAUAAUGGGAUGUGGGAGGUGGUGGUGGGACAUGGGAGGCCAUAAUGGGAUGUGGGAGGCCAUAAUGGGAUGUGGGAGGCGGUGGUGGGACGUGGGAGGCCAUAAUGGGACGUGGGAGGCAGUGGUGGGACGUGGGAGGCAGUGGUGGGACGUGGGAGGCGGUGGUGGGACGUGGGAGGCCAUAAUGGGAUGUGGGAGGCCAUAAUGGGACGUGGGAGGCGGUGGUGGGACGUGGGAGGCCAUAAUGGGAUGUGGGAGGCCAUAAUGGGACGUGGGAGGCAGUGGUGGGAUGUGGGAGGCCAUAAUGGGACGUGGGAGGCCAUAAUAGGAUGUGGGAGGCCAUAAUAGGAUGUGGGAGGCCAUAAUGGGACGUGGGAGGUGGUGGUGGGACGUGGGAGGCCAUAAUGGGAUGUGAGAGGUGGUGGUGGGACGUGGGAGGCUGUGGUGGGAUGUGGGAGGCCAUAAUGGGACGUGGGAGGCCAUAAUAGGAUGUGGGAGGCGGUGGUGGGACGUGGGAGGCCAUAAUGGGACGUGGGAGGUGGUGGUGGGACGUGGGAGGCCAUAAUGGGACAUGGGAGGCGGUGAUGGGACGUGGGAGGCGGUGGUGGGACGU
This is a non-coding RNA of Meleagris gallopavo (turkey), 765 nucleotides long. Lineage: Eukaryota; Metazoa; Chordata; Aves; Galliformes; Phasianidae. The record is from RefSeq and is a predicted model, not a curated record.